This 101-nucleotide small nucleolar RNA is filed under the name Drosophila grimshawi. RNAcentral's name for it is "snoRNA:GH25776". The record is from RNAcentral. Lineage: Eukaryota; Metazoa; Arthropoda; Insecta; Diptera; Drosophilidae.
AAGCGUGCGCUGCCCAGAUAAACUUCAACUUCGAAGUAGACGUUCAGACAUAGUCGAAUCGAUUCAACCCACGCUCGAUUAUAUCACUCAACGUCUGACAU